GCCGAUGUGGCUCAGCUGGUAGAGCAGCUCAUUCGUAAUGAGCAGGUCGUGGGUUCGAGUCCCAUCGUCGGCUCCA
RNAcentral lists this transfer RNA (76 nucleotides) under Tepidibacillus decaturensis. RNAcentral describes it as "tRNA-Thr". It matches the Rfam family "tRNA". From Rfam's summary of the family: Transfer RNA (tRNA) molecules are approximately 80 nucleotides in length. Their secondary structure includes four short double-helical elements and three loops (D, anti-codon, and T loops). Further hydrogen bonds mediate the characteristic L-shaped molecular structure. tRNAs have two regions of fundamental functional importance: the anti-codon, which is responsible for specific mRNA codon recognition, and the 3' end, to which the tRNAs corresponding amino acid is attached (by aminoacyl-tRNA synthetases). tRNAs cope with the degeneracy of the genetic code in two manners: having more than one tRNA (with a specific anti-codon) for a particular amino acid; and 'wobble' base-pairing, i.e. permitting non-standard base-pairing at the 3rd anti-codon position. RNAcentral also lists the same sequence under 3 other names. The record is from RNAcentral. Lineage: Bacteria; Bacillati; Bacillota; Bacilli; Caryophanales; Bacillaceae.